UCUGGAUGUCGGAUCCUAUUGCCAGAUGGAUACAUUGAUUAAUAUAAAAAUUUAUUCCUAUGCUACCGACUUAGGUUCGAACCUAUGAGGUCACACUCAAAAAAAUUUAUUGACUGAUCAUGUUACUAAUCAAUGAUUGAGAAUCAUUCAAGGGUGUAAUUAUCAAUUUGAUUAAUGGUUAACCUCAUGCAAAAGUUAU
RNAcentral lists this long non-coding RNA (199 nucleotides) under Elaeis guineensis (African oil palm). RNAcentral's name for it is "long non-coding RNA (EGUI_LNC012670)". Lineage: Eukaryota; Viridiplantae; Streptophyta; Magnoliopsida; Arecales; Arecaceae. The record is from RNAcentral.